AUAACGUAACGUUCUUCAACGCACAAGCUUGUGUGCAUAAGGCUUUACAUUCUAACCUUAAAAUUAUUUGAACACCGAAAUCACAUGAGGAAAUAAAUAGGAACACACAAUAUUGAAAAGAAAAUCAAGAGAACUUUUUUUGUGAUUAUAAAAGUGAGAAUAAAUGGUCUGAUCUAUCAAAAAAAGAAGGGACAAUAAAAAUAAGAAGAGAAAUUGAAGAGUAUUUAUUCUCUAGUAAAGAUGUAACUUUAGAAAUUGCAUUUACGACAUCUGGCUGCAAUUUUCCUUUUGAUUUUAUUUGCCUACUUAAACCUUUCUUUCGCGCAUAAUCAGAGGCAC
This is a long non-coding RNA of Linepithema humile (Argentine ant), 339 nucleotides long. RefSeq lists it as uncharacterized. NCBI's taxonomy places the organism in Eukaryota, Metazoa, Arthropoda, Insecta, Hymenoptera, Formicidae. The record is from RefSeq and is a predicted model, not a curated record.